UGCCUACGGGGCGCAGCAGUGAGGAAUAUUGGUCAAUGGACGAGAGCCUGAACCAGCCAAGUAGCGUGAAGGAUGACUGCCCUAUGGGUUGUAAACUUCUUUUAUAUGGGAAUAAAGUUUUCCACGUGUGGAAUUUUGUAUGUACCAUAUGAAUAAGGAUCGGCUAACUCCGUGCAAGCAGCCGCGGUAAUACGGAGGAUCCGAGCGUUAUCCGGAUUUAUUGGGUUUAAAGGGAGCGUAGGUGGUUUGUUAAGUUAGUUGUGAAAUUUUGCGGCUCAACCGUAAAAUUGCAGUUGAAACUGGCA
RNAcentral lists this ribosomal RNA (305 nucleotides) under uncultured bacterium. RNAcentral's name for it is "bacterial SSU rRNA". It matches the Rfam family "Bacterial small subunit ribosomal RNA", at positions 335 to 638 of the family's 1533-position model. The record is from RNAcentral.